Molecule: transfer RNA, 89 nt
Rfam family: tRNA
About the family: Transfer RNA (tRNA) molecules are approximately 80 nucleotides in length.
Source: Rfam
GGGCGUGUGGUCUAGUGGUAUGAUUCUCGCUUUGGGCUAAUACAGCACGAAUAUGCGAGAGGCCCUGGGUUCAAUUCCCAGCUCGCCCC